RNAcentral lists this ribosomal RNA (460 nucleotides) under uncultured bacterium. RNAcentral describes it as "partial 16S ribosomal RNA". It matches the Rfam family "Bacterial small subunit ribosomal RNA", at positions 338 to 795 of the family's 1533-position model. The record is from RNAcentral.
CCUACGGGAGGCAGCAGUGAGGAAUAUUGGUCAAUGGCCGGGAGGCUGAACCAGCCACGUCGCGUGAGGGAUGACUGCCCUAUGGGUUGUAAACUUCUUUUAUCAGGGAGUAAGACGGGGCUCGGGACCCGCUGUGCGAGUACUUGAUGAAAAAGGAUCGGCUAACUCCGUGCCAGCAGCCGCGGUAAUACGGAGGAUCCGAGCGUUAUCCGGAUUUAUUGGGUUUAAAGGGAGCGUAGAUGGGUUGUUAAGUCAGUUGUGAAAGUUUGCGGCUCAACCGUAAAAUUGCAAUUGAUACUGGCAGUCUUGAGUACAGUUGAGGUAGGCGGAAUUCGUGGUGUAGCGGUGAAAUGCUUAGAUAUCACGAAGAACCCCGAUUGCGAAGGCAGCUUACUAAACUGUGACUGACAUUGAUGCUCGAAAGUGUGGGUAUCAAACAGGAUUAGAUACCCGAGUAGUC